UUGGAGGGCAAGUCUGGUGCCAGCAGCCGCGGUAAUUCCCGCUCCAAUAGCGUAUAUUGAAGUUGUUGCAGUUAAAAAGCUCGUAGUUGAAUUUCGAGACCGGUUUAUUGGUCGUGCUUUUGUACGUACUGGUAUUAUUGGUUUCUCCUUUCUGACGAAUCUUAAUGCCAUUAAUUUGGUGUUUUGGGGAAUCAGGACUGUUACUUUGAAAAAUUGAGUGUUUAAAGCAGGCUCACGACUUGAAUACAUUAGCAUGGUAUAACGGAAUAGGACGUUUGAUUCUAUUUUGUGGUUUCUAGGAUCGACGUAAU
This 311-nucleotide ribosomal RNA is filed under the name uncultured Glomus. Its description in RNAcentral is "SSU rRNA". It matches the Rfam family "Eukaryotic small subunit ribosomal RNA", at positions 548 to 866 of the family's 1831-position model. The record is from RNAcentral. Lineage: Eukaryota; Fungi; Glomeromycota; Glomeromycetes; Glomerales; Glomeraceae.